Molecule: non-coding RNA, 69 nt
Organism: Rattus norvegicus (Norway rat)
Lineage: Eukaryota; Metazoa; Chordata; Mammalia; Rodentia; Muridae
Source: Rfam
GGGGAUUUAGCUCAGUGGUAGAGCACUUGCCUAGCAAGCACAAAGCCCUGGGUUCGGUCCUCAGCUCCA